RNAcentral lists this ribosomal RNA (564 nucleotides) under uncultured Glomeromycotina. Its description in RNAcentral is "SSU rRNA". It matches the Rfam family "Eukaryotic small subunit ribosomal RNA", at positions 548 to 1114 of the family's 1831-position model. The record is from RNAcentral. Lineage: Eukaryota; Fungi; Glomeromycota.
UUGGAGGGCAAGUCUGGUGCCAGCAGCCGCGGUAAUUCCAGCUCCAAUAGCGUAUAUUAAAGUUGUUGCAGUUAAAAAGCUCGUAGUUGAAUUUCGGGAUCAGAGUGUCGGUCGUGCCUCGGUACGCACUGGUAUUAUUGGUUCCUACCUUCUGAAGAACCGCGAUGUCAUUAAUUUGGUGUCGUGGGGAAUCAGGACUGUUACUUUGAAAAAAUUAGAGUGUUUAAAGCAGGCUUACGCUUGAAUACAUUAGCAUGGAAUAAUGAAAUAGGACGUUUGAUUCUAUUUUGUUGGUUUCUAGGAUUGACGUAAUGAUUAAUAGGGAUAGUUGGGGGCAUUAGUAUUCAAUUGUCAGAGGUGAGAUUCUUGGAUUUACUGAAGACUAACUACUGCGAGAGCAUUUGCCAAGGAUGUUUUCAUUAAUCAAGAACGAAAGUUAGGGGAUCGAAGACGAUCAGAUACCGUCGUAGUCUUAACCAUAAACUAUGCCGACUAGGGAUCGGAUGAUGUUAAUUUUUUAAUGACUCAUUCGGCGCCUUACGGGAAACCAAAGUGUUUGGGUUC